This 484-nucleotide ribosomal RNA is filed under the name uncultured bacterium. RNAcentral describes it as "partial 16S ribosomal RNA". It matches the Rfam family "Bacterial small subunit ribosomal RNA", at positions 28 to 507 of the family's 1533-position model. The record is from RNAcentral.
AUUGAACGCUGGCGGCAUGCUUUACACAUGCAAGUCGAACGGCAGCGCGGGCUUCGGCCUGGCUGCGAGUGGCGAACGGGUGAGUAAUGCAUCGGAACGUGCCCAGUAGUGGGGGAUAGCCCGGCGAAAGCCGGAUUAAUACCGCAUACGACCUGAGGGUGAAAGCGGGGGACCGAAAGGCCUCGCGCUCUUUGAGCGGCCGAUGUCGGAUUAGCUAGUUGGUGGGGUAAAGGCUUACCAAGGCGACGAUCCGUAGCUGGUCUGAGAGGACGACCAGCCACACUGGGACUGAGACACGGCCCAGACUCCUACGGGAGGCAGCAGUGGGGAAUUUUGGACAAUGGGGGCAACCCUGAUCCAGCCAUGCCGCGUGCGGGAAGAAGGCCUUCGGGUUGUAAACCGCUUUUGUUCGGGAAGAAAUCCUCUGGGCUAAUACCCCGGGGGGAUGACGGUACCGGAAGAAUAAGCACCGGCUAACUACGUG